This 78-nucleotide transfer RNA is filed under the name marine sediment metagenome. RNAcentral describes it as "tRNA-His". It matches the Rfam family "tRNA". From Rfam's summary of the family: Transfer RNA (tRNA) molecules are approximately 80 nucleotides in length. Their secondary structure includes four short double-helical elements and three loops (D, anti-codon, and T loops). Further hydrogen bonds mediate the characteristic L-shaped molecular structure. tRNAs have two regions of fundamental functional importance: the anti-codon, which is responsible for specific mRNA codon recognition, and the 3' end, to which the tRNAs corresponding amino acid is attached (by aminoacyl-tRNA synthetases). tRNAs cope with the degeneracy of the genetic code in two manners: having more than one tRNA (with a specific anti-codon) for a particular amino acid; and 'wobble' base-pairing, i.e. permitting non-standard base-pairing at the 3rd anti-codon position. The record is from RNAcentral.
GGGAGGGUAGCUUAACUGGUAAUAGCAUGGGAUUGUGGCUCCCAUCUGACGUGAGUUCGAGCCUCACCCCUCCCUCCA